Molecule: ribosomal RNA, 450 nt
Filed under: uncultured bacterium
Lineage: Bacteria
Description: partial 16S ribosomal RNA
Rfam family: Bacterial small subunit ribosomal RNA
Source: RNAcentral
GUGGGGAAUUUUGGACAAUGGGCGCAAGCCUGAUCCAGCCAUUCCGCGUGCAGGAUGAAGGCCUUCGGGUUGUAAACUGCUUUUGUACGGAACGAAAAGCCUCUGGUUAAUACCCGGGGGUCAUGACGGUACCGUAAGAAUAAGCACCGGCUAACUACGUGCCAGCAGCCGCGGUAAUACGUAGGGUGCGAGCGUUAAUCGGAAUUACUGGGCGUAAAGCGUGCGCAGGCGGUGAUGUAAGACAGCUGUGAAAUCCCCGGGCUCAACCUGGGAACUGCAUCUGUGACUGCAUUGCUGGAGUGCGGCAGAGGGGGAUGGAAUUCCGCGUGUAGCAGUGAAAUGCGUAGAUAUGCGGAGGAACACCGAUGGCGAAGGCAAUCCCCUGGGCCUGCACUGACGCUCAUGCACGAAAGCGUGGGGAGCAAACAGGAUUAGAAACCCGAGUAGUCC